GACGAACGCUGGCGGCGUGCUUAACACAUGCAAGUCGAACGAAAAUACCAAGCUUGCUUGGUUGAUUAGUGGCGAACGGGUGAGUAACACGUGAGUAACCUGCCCCUUACUUUCCUGGAUAACUGCUCGAAAGGGUAGCUAAUACGGGAUAUUCUGACCAGCCUGCAUGGGUUGGUUUGGAAAGGUUGUUUUUCUGGUAAGGGAUGGGCUCGCGGCCUAUCAGCUUGUUGGUGGGGUGAUGGCCUACCAAGGCUUUGACGGGUAGCCGGCCUGAGAGGGUGGACGGUCACACUGGGAAUGAGAUACGGCCCAGACUCCUACGGGAGGCAGCAGUGGGGAAUAUUGCACAAUGGGCGCAAGCCUGAUGCAGCGACGCCGCGUGAGGGAUGAAGGCCUUCGGGUUGUAAACCUCUUUCGUCAGGGAACAAGGCACUGCUUUUUUGGUGGUGUUGAGGGUACCUGGAUAAGAAGCGCCGGCUAACUACGUG
This 488-nucleotide ribosomal RNA is filed under the name uncultured bacterium. RNAcentral's name for it is "partial 16S ribosomal RNA". It matches the Rfam family "Bacterial small subunit ribosomal RNA", at positions 28 to 507 of the family's 1533-position model. The record is from RNAcentral.